RNAcentral lists this ribosomal RNA (500 nucleotides) under uncultured bacterium. RNAcentral's name for it is "partial 16S ribosomal RNA". It matches the Rfam family "Bacterial small subunit ribosomal RNA", at positions 899 to 1397 of the family's 1533-position model. The record is from RNAcentral.
ACUCAAAGGAAUUGACGGGGGCCCGCACAAGCGGUGGAGCAUGUGGUUUAAUUCGACGCAACGCGAAGAACCUUACCUGGGCUUGACAUGGCCGGGAAAGCCUCUGGAAACAGGGGCCCUCCUUCGGGAUCCGGUCACAGGUGCUGCAUGGCUGUCGUCAGCUCGUGUCGUGAGAUGUUGGGUUAAGUCCCGCAACGAGCGCAACCCUCGCCUCUAGUUACCAGCGGGUCAUGCCGGGGACUCUAGAGGGACUGCCGGUGCCAAACCGGAGGAAGGUGAGGACGACGUCAAGUCAUCAUGGUCCUUACGCCCAGGGCCACACACGUGCUACAAUGGCGGGGACAGCAGGUCGCGAGCCGGCAACGGUGAGCCAAUCCCCAAACCCCGCCUCAGUUCGGAUUGUCCUCUGCAACUCGAGGGCAUGAAGCUGGAAUCGCUAGUAAUCGUGGAUCAGCUACGCCACGGUGAAUACGUUCCCGGGCCUUGUACACACCGCCCGU